GAUGAACGCUGGCGGCGUGCCUAAUACAUGCAAGUCGAGCGAACGGACGAGAAGCUUGCUUCUCUGAUGUUAGCGGCGGACGGGUGAGUAACACGUGGAUAACCUACCUAUAAGACUGGGAUAACUUCGGGAAACCGGAGCUAAUACCGGAUAAUAUUUUGAACCGCAUGGUUCAAAAGUGAAAGACGGUCUUGCUGUCACUUAUAGAUGGAUCCGCGCUGCAUUAGCUAGUUGGUAAGGUAACGGCUUACCAAGGCAACGAUGCAUAGCCGACCUGAGAGGGUGAUCGGCCACACUGGAACUGAGACACGGUCCAGACUCCUACGGGAGGCAGCAGUAGGGAAUCUUCCGCAAUGGGCGAAAGCCUGACGGAGCAACGCCGCGUGAGUGAUGAAGGUCUUCGGAUCGUAGAACUCUGUUAUUAGGGAAGAACAUAUGUGUAAGUAACUGUGCACAUCUUGACGGUACCUAAUCAGAAGGCCACGGCUAACUACGUG
Molecule: ribosomal RNA, 497 nt
Filed under: uncultured bacterium
Lineage: Bacteria
Description: partial 16S ribosomal RNA
Rfam family: Bacterial small subunit ribosomal RNA
Source: RNAcentral